This 789-nucleotide ribosomal RNA is filed under the name uncultured archaeon. RNAcentral describes it as "bacterial SSU rRNA". It matches the Rfam family "Archaeal small subunit ribosomal RNA", at positions 85 to 879 of the family's 1478-position model. The record is from RNAcentral.
ACUGCUCAGUAACACGUCGGUAAUCUGCCCUACGGUCGGGGAUAACCUCGGGAAACUGAGGAUAAUACCCGAUAGGAGAUUGGUCCUGGAAUGGUCUUUCUCUGAAACUCGCGCCGUAGGAUGAGCCGGUGGCUGAUUAGGCAGUUGGUGGGGUAAUGGCCCACCAAACCAAAGAUCAGUACGGGCCAUGAAAGUGGUAGCCCGGAGAGGGACACUGAGAAACUGGUCCCAGCCCUACGGGGUGCAGCAGUUGCGAAAACUUUACAAUGCACGAAAGUGUGAUAAGGGGAUCCCAAGUGCUCAUGUUUUACAUGGGCUUUUGCCAAGGGCAAGAACCUUGGAGAAUAAGUGGUGGGUAAGACUGGUGCCAGCCGCCGCGGUAACCCCAGCGCCACAAGUGGCAACCGCGUUUAUUGGGUCUAAAGCGUCCGUAGCCUGUUUGAUAAAUCUCUUGUGAAAUCGUCGGACUUAACCUGACGGCUUGCAGGAGACACUGUCUGACUUGAGACCGGAAGGGGUGUGAAGUAUGGUGCGGGGAACGGUAAAAUGUGAUAAUCCGCGCUAGACUACCAAUGGCGAAGGCAUCACACCAGGACGGAUCUGACGGUGAGGGACGAAAGCUAGGGGAGCGAACCGGAUUAGAUACCCGAGUAGUCCUAGCUGUAAACGCUGUGAGCAAGGUGUUGCAUAUUCCUCGGGAAUAUGCAGUGUCGAAACGAAGGUGUUAAGCUCACCACCUGGGAAGUACGGUCGCAAGACUGAAACUUUAAGGAAUUGGCGGGGGAGCAC